This 5342-nucleotide long non-coding RNA is filed under the name Citrus x clementina. RNAcentral's name for it is "Citrus clementina (C. clementina) long non-coding RNA (CCLE_LNC000016)". Lineage: Eukaryota; Viridiplantae; Streptophyta; Magnoliopsida; Sapindales; Rutaceae. The record is from RNAcentral.
CGCCGGACUCGGAAUGGCCCCAGACUUUGCGGGCGGCCUCCGUGUGCCCAAAAUAGGCCACGGGCACAGCCGCGCCCAAAAAUCAGCCCCCGAAGGUCGGGGCGCCAAGACCCCCCAGCGGAAAAAUGGCCAAAAAACGGGUGGGCUAUAGCCUUGGUGGGGGGCGUGGGCGAAGUUCUUCCGCCUGACUCGGAAUGGUCCCAGACUUUGCGGGCGGCCUACGUGUGCCAAAAAUAGGCCACGGGCACAGCCGCGCCCAAAAAUCAGCCCCUGAAGGUCGGGGCGCCAAGACCCCCCAGCGGAAAAAUGGCCAAAAAACGGUUGGGCUAUAGCCUUGGUGGGGGGCGUGGGCGAAGUUCGUCCGCCGGACUCGGAAUGGCCCCAGACUUUGCGGGCGGCCUCCGUGUGCCAAAAAUAGGCCACGGGCACAGCCGUUCCCAAAAAUCAGCACCCGAAUGUCGGGGCGCCAAGACCCCCCAGCGGAAAAAUGGCCAAAAAACGGGUGGGCUAUAGCCUUGGUGGGGGGCGUGGGCGAACUUCGUCCGCCGGACUCGGAAUGGCCCCAGACUUUGCGGGCGGCCUCCGUGUGCCAAAAAUAGGCCACGGGCACAGCCGCGCCCAAAAAUCAGCCCCCGAAUGUCGGGGCGCCAAUACACCCCAGCGGAAAAAUGGCAAAAAAACGGGUGGGCUAUAGCCUUGGUGGGGGGUGUGGGCGAAGUUCGUCCGCCGGACUCGGAAUGGCCCCAGACUUUGCGGGCGGCCUCCGUGUGCCAAAAAUAGGCCACGGCCACAGCCGCGCCCAAAAUCAGCCCCCGUAAGUUGUGGUGCCAAGGCAACCCCCGCGGAAAAAUCGCCAAAAACGGGUGGGCUAUACCCUGGUGGGGGGUGUGGGCGAAGUUCGUCCGCCGCACUCGGAAUGGCCCCAGACUUUGCGGGCGGACUCCGUGUGCCAAAAAUAGGCCACGGGCACAGCCGCGCCCAAAAAUCAGCCCCCGAAGGUCGGGGUGCCAAGACCCCCCAGCGGAAAAAUGGCCAAAAAACGGGUGGGCUAUAGCCUUGGUGGGGGGCGUGGGCGAAGUUCGUCCGCCGGGCUCGGAAUGGCCCCAGACUUUGCGGGCGGCCUCCGUGUGCCAAAAUUAGGCCACGGCCACAGCCGCGCCCAAAAAUCAGCCCCCGAAGGUCGGGGCGCCAAGACCCCCCAGCUGAAAAAUGGCCAAAAAACGGGUGGGCUAUUGCCUUGGUGGGGGGCGUGGGCGAAGUUCGUCCGCCGGACUCGGAAUGGCCCCAGACUUUGCGGGCGGCCUCCGUGUGCCCAAAAUAGGCCACGGGCACAGCCGCGCCCAAAAAUCAGCCCCCGAAGGUCGGGGCGCCAAGACCCCCCAGCGGAAAAAUGGCCAAAAAACGGGUGGGCUAUAGCCUUGGUGGGGGGCGUGGGCGAAGUUCGUCCGCCGGAUUCGGAAUGGCCCCAGACUUUGCGGGCGGCCUCCGUGUGCCAAAAAUAGGCCACGGGCACAGCCGCGCCCAGAAAUCAGCCCCCGAAUGUCGGGGCGCCAAGACACCCCAGCGGAAAAAUGGCCAAAAAAUGGGUGGGCUAUAGCCUUGGUGGGGGGCGUGGGCGAACUUCGUCCGCCGCACUCGGAAUGGCCCCAGACUUUGCAGGCGGCCUCCGUGUGCCAAAAAUAGGCCACGGGCUCAGCCACGCCCAAAAAUCAGCCCCCGAAGGUCGGGGUGCCAAGACCCCCCAGCGUAAAAAUGGCCAAAAAACGGGUGGGCUAUAGCCUUGGUGGGGGGCGUGGGCGAAGUUCGUCCGCCGGGCUCGGAAUGGCCCCAGACUUUGCGGGCGGCCUCCUUGUGCCAAAAUUAGGCCACGGCCACAGCCGCGCCCAACAAUCAGCCCCCGAAGGUCGGGGUGCCAAGACCCCCCAGCGGAAAAAUGUCCAAAAAACGGGUGGGCUAUAGCCUUGGUGGGGGGCGUGGGCGAAGUUCGUCCGCCGGGCUCGGAAUGGCCCCAAACUUUGCGGGCGGUGUCCGUGUGCCAAAAUUAGGCCACGGCCACAGCCGCGCCCAAAACCCAGCCCCCAAAGGUCGGGGCGCCAAGAUCCCCCAGUGGAAAAAUGGCCAAAAAACGGGUGGGCUACAGCCUUGGUGGGGGGCGUGGGCGAAGUUCGUCCGCCGGACUCAGAAUGGCCCCAGACUUUGCGGGCGGCCUCCGUUUGCCCAAAAUAGGCCACGGGCACAGCCGCGCCCAAAAAUCAGCCCCCGAAGGUCGGGGCGCCAAGACCCCCCAGCGGAAAAAUGGCCAAAAAACGGGUAGGCUAUAGCCUUGGUGGGGGGCGUGGGCGAAGUUCGUCCGCCGGACUCGGAAUGGCCCCAGACUUUGCGGGCGGCCUCCGUGUGCCCAAAAUAGGCCACGGGCACAGCCGCGGCCAAAAAUCAGCCCCCGAAGGUCGGGGCGCCAAGACCCCCCAGCGGAAAAAUGGCCAAAAAACGGGUGGGCUAUAGCCUUGGUGGGGGGCGUGGGCGAAGUUCGUCCGCCGGACUCGGAAUGGCCCCAGACUUUGCGGGCGGCCUCCGUGUGCCAAAAAUAGGCCACGGGCACAGCCGCGCCCAAAAAUCAGCCCCCGAAGGUCGGGGCGCCAAGACCCCCCAGCGGAAAAAUGGGCAACAAACGGGUGGGCUAUAGCCUUGGUGGGGGGCGUGGGCGAAGUUCGUCCGCGGGACUCGGAAUGGCACCAGACUUGGCGGGCGGCCUCCGUGUGCCAAAAAUAGGCCACGGGCACAGCCGCGCCCAAAAAUCAGCCCCCGAAGGUCGGGGUCCCAAGACCCCCCAGCGGAAAAAUGGCCAAAAAACCGGUGGGCUAUAGCCCUGGUGGGGGGCGUGGGCGAAGUUCGUCCGCGGGACUCGGAAUGGCACCAGACUUGGCGGGCGGCCUCCGUGUGCCAAAAAUAGGCCACGGGCACAGCCGCGCCCAAAAAUCAGCCCCCGAAGGUCGGGGUCCCAAGACCCCCCAGCGGAAAAAUGGUCAAAACACCGGUGGGCUAUAGCCUUGGCGGGCGGCCUCCGUGUGCCAAAAAUAGGCCACGGGCACAGCCGCGCCCAAAAAUCAGCCCCCGAAGGUCGGGGUCCCAAGACCCCCCAGCGGAAAAAUGGUCAAAACACCGGUGGGCUAUAGCCUUGGUGGGGGGCGUGGGCGAAGUUCAUCCGCGGGACUCGGAAUGGCGCCAGACUUGGCGGGCAGCCUCUGUGUGCCAAAAAUAGGCCACGGGCACAACCGCGCCCAAAAAUCAGCCCCCGAAGGUCGGGGUCCCAAGACCCCCCAGCGGAAAAAUGGCCAAAAAACGGGUUGGCUAUAGCCUUGGUGGGCGGCGUGGGCGAAGUUCGUCCGCGGGACUCGGAAUGGCACCAGACUUGGCGGGCGGCCUCCGUGUGCCAAAAAUAGGCCACGGGCACAGCCGCUCCCAAAAAUCAGCCCCCGAAGGUCGGGGUCCCAAGACCCCCCAGCGGAAAAAUGGCCAAAAAACGGGUGGGCUAUAGCCUUGGUGGGCGGCGUGGGCGAAGUUCGUCCGCGGGACUCGGAAUGCCACCAUACUUGGCGGGCGGCCUCCGUGUGCCAAAAAUAGGCCACGGGUACAGCCGCGCCCAAAAAUCAGCCCCCGAAGGUCGGGGUCCCAAGACCCCCCAGCGGAAAAAUGGCCAAAAAAAGGGUGGGCCAUAGCCUUGGCGGGGGGCAUGGGCGAAAUUCGUCCGCGGGACUCGGAAUGGCACCAGACUUGGCAGGCGGCCUCCGUGUGCCAAAAAUAGCCCACGGGCACAGCCGCUCCCAAAAAUCAGCCCCCGAAGGUCGGGGUCCCAAGACCCCCCAGCGGAAAAAUGGCCAAAAAAAGGGUGGGCUAUAGCCUUGGCGGGGGGCGUGGGCGAAGUUCGUCCGCCGGACUCGUAAUGGCCCCAGACUUGGCGGGCGGCCUCUGUGUGCCAAAAAUUGGCCACGGGCACAGCCGCGCCCAAAAAUCAGCCCCCGAAGGUCGGGGUCCCAAGACCCCCCAGCGGAAAAAUNNNNNNNNNNNNNNNNNNNNNNNNNNNNNNNNNNNNNNNNNNNNNNNNNNNNNNNNNNNNNNNNNNNNNNNNNNNNNNNNNNNNNNNNNNNNNNNNNNNNNNNNNNNNNNNNNNNNNNNNNNNNNNNNNNNNNNNNNNNNNNNNNNNNNNNNNGGGUCCCAAGACCCCCCAGCGGAAAAAUGGCCAAAAAAAGGGUGGGCUAUAGUCUUGGUGGGGGGCGUGGGCGAAGUUCGUCCGCGGGACUCGGAAUGGCCCCAGACUUGGCAGGCGGCCUCCGUGUGCCAAAAAUAGUCCACGGACACAACCGCUCCCAAAAAUCAGCCCCCGAAGGUCGGGGUCCCAAGACCCCCCAGCGGAAAAAUGGCCAAAAAAAGGGUGGGCUAUAGCCUUGGUGGGGGGCGUGGGCGAAGUUCGUCCGCCGGACUCGUAAUGGCCCCAGACUUGGCGGGCGGCCUCCGUGUGCCAAAAAUAGCCCACGGGCACAGCCGCUCCCAAACAUCAGCCCCCGAAGGUCGGGGUCCCAAGACCCCCCAGCGGAAAAAUGGCCAAAAAACGGGUGGGCUAUAGCCUUGGUGGGCGGCGUGGGCGAAGUUCGUCCGCGGGACUCGGAAUGGUCCCAGACUUGGCGGGCGGCCUCUGUGUGCCAAAAAUAGCCCACGGGCACAGCCGCUCCCAAAAAUCAGCCCCCGAAGGUCGGGGUCCCAAGACCCCCCAGCGGAAAAAUGGCCAAAAAACGGGUGGGCUAUAGCCUUGGCGGGGGGCGUGGGCGAAGUUCGUCCGCCGGACUCGUAAUGGCCCCAGACUUGGCGGGCGGCCUCCGUGUGCCAAAAAUAGCCCACGGGCACAGCCGCUCCCAAACAUCAGCCCCCGAAGGUCGGGGUCCCAAGACCCCCCAGCGGAAAAAUGGCCAAAAAACGGGUGGGCUAUAGCCUUGGCGGGGGGCGUGGGCGAAGUUCGUCCGCCGGACUCGUAAUGGCCCCAGACUUGGCGGGCGGCCUCCGUGUGCCAAAAAUAGCCCACGGGCACAGCCGCUCCCAAACAUCAGCCCCCGAAGGUCGGGGUCCCAAGACCCCCCAGCGGAAAAAUGGCCAAAAAACUGGUGGGCUAUAGCCUUGGUGGGGGGCGUGGGCGAAGUUCGUCCGCCGGGCUCGGAAUGGCCCCAAACUUUGUGGGCGGCGUCCGUGUGCCAAAAUUAGGCCACGGCCAAAGCCGCGCCCAAAACCCAGCCCCCAAAAGUCGGGGCGCCAAGACCCCCCAGUGGAAAAAUGGCCAAAAAACGGGUGGGCUA